RNAcentral lists this non-coding RNA (122 nucleotides) under Tryblionella compressa. Lineage: Eukaryota; Bacillariophyta; Bacillariophyceae; Bacillariales; Bacillariaceae. The record is from RNAcentral.
GCACCUACUCGCUUGCCUACGGUGACUCCUUCGUCAAGACCAUCUCCUGCCCCUACCCUAAAUCCCACAGCUCAUCCCACAUCUUCUCCAACAUCUGUGUACUCGUGUCCACAAGUCACGUU